AUGGCCGCCGCCUCCACGAAUCCCCCGCUGAAGUCCAUCAAGGAGACGUACCAGAUGAAGACGCACCUGGAGCACACCAGGCUGCGCCCAGACACCUACGUCGGCUCGGUCCAGCAGCACAAGACGCCUCUCUGGGUCUACGAGGACGGUGCCAUGGUGCAUCGGUAUGUCACCUACGUCCCCGGCCUCUACAAGAUCUUCGACGAGAUCCUCGUCAACGCCGCCGACCACAAGCAGCGCAACCGCUGCAUGAACUACCUCCAGGAGGGCAUCUACGUGCCGGAGCUGAUCUUCGCCAACCUCCUCACUAGCAGCAACUACCAUGACAACGAGCGGAAGACCUUCGGCAGCACGAACGGCUACGGCGCCAUACUCGCCAACAUCUUCUCGAGGGAAUUCGUCAUCGAGAUCGCUGAUGGGCGCCGGCAGAAGAAGUACAAGCAGAUUUUCUCUGAAAACAUGGGGAAGAAGUCAGAACCCGAGAUUAAAAAGUGCGAGCAGUCAGAGAACUGGACCAGAGUUACCUUCAAGCCUGACCUUGCCAAGUUUGUCUUCACCAAGAUGCUCGACCGUGAUAUCGUGGCAGUCAUGAGGAAGAGAGUAGUUGAUAUGGCGGGCAUCCUUGGCAAAUCCGUGAAUGUUGAGUUGAAUGGUCAGAAGCUAGCAGCAAAAAGCUUCUCCGAGUAUGUGCAACUCUAUAUUGACUCUGUUUCCAAAGAAGGAAUCGAGCUACCAAGAAUUUACCAGAAGGUAAAUGAUCGUUGGGAGGUGUGUGUGAGUCUAAGUGAAGGCCAGUUUCAGCAGGUCAGUUUUGUAAAUGGAAUUGCGACCAUAAGAGGCGGAACUCACGUUGACUACGUCGCAAACCAAAUCGCCAACCAUUUGAUGGGCAUUGUGAACAAGAAAAACAAGCAUGCUAGCAUGAAAUUACAUACAGUGAAGGGCUACCUAUGGGUAUUUGUUAAUGCACUCAUUGAAAACCCUGCCUUUGAUUCACAGACCAAAGAGACCUUGACAACUCCUCAGGGAAAGUUUGGGUCCAAGUGUGAGCUAUCCGAAGAUUUCCUUACGAGGGUCUCUAACUCGGGUGUUGUCACCAAUCUCCUUCGUUUGGCCAAGUCUAAACUAAGCAAGGGAGCCAAUUUGGAUUCUCUCCCACAUUCAUCUACUCGUAUGUCAUAUAUGCAUGCCCCACCAAGACCCACACAAAUAUUCUCAGAGAUGCAUGGAGCACAGCGUGGAGAAAUCAAGAAACUUGACCGCGAUGAUGUGUUCCUUGAGCUAUACCUAAAACUGAAGCGGGAAGAAAUUGAUCGGUUCGCUGCAAUUGAGGAGAAGAAGCUGGAGGAUCCAUGCAGCAUUACCAGGUGUAUCGCAACGAUCGAAAAAUUACAAGGUCUGCAAGUAGAUGAUAUUUUGGUGGCAGCAGAUAUCUUCAAGAUAAAGGAGAACAGGGAAGUUUUCUUAUCCUUCUCUAGAGAUGAUCUUCGGUUGGCUUGGAUUGAAAGGGAGAUUGUGCGCAGCCAGCCAUACAAUCGGAAUUAG
This 1545-nucleotide ribosomal RNA is filed under the name Triticum aestivum (bread wheat). RNAcentral describes it as "partial small subunit ribosomal RNA". The record is from RNAcentral. Lineage: Eukaryota; Viridiplantae; Streptophyta; Magnoliopsida; Poales; Poaceae.